UACGGGGGGGGAAGCGAAGAACCUUACCUGGUCUUGACAUCCACAGAACUUUCCAGAGAUGGAUUGGUGCCUUCGGGAACUGUGAGACAGGUGCUGCAUGGCUGUCGUCAGCUCGUGUUGUGAAAUGUUGGGUUAAGUCCCGCAACGAGCGCAACCCUUAUCCUUUGUUGCCAGCGGUCCGGCCGGGAACUCAAAGGAGACUGCCAGUGAUAAACUGGAGGAAGGUGGGGAUGACGUCAAGUCAUCAUGGCCCUUACGACCAGGGCUACACACGUGCUACAAUGGCGCAUACAAAGAGAAGCAAUCUCGCGAGAGCUAGCGGACCUCAUAAAGUGCGUCGUAGUCCGGAUUGGAGUCUGCAACUCGACUCCAUGAAGUCGGAAUCGCUAGUAAUCGGAAUCAGAAUCGUCGA
This 412-nucleotide ribosomal RNA is filed under the name uncultured Kosakonia sp. RNAcentral describes it as "bacterial SSU rRNA". It matches the Rfam family "Bacterial small subunit ribosomal RNA", at positions 950 to 1362 of the family's 1533-position model. Lineage: Bacteria; Pseudomonadati; Pseudomonadota; Gammaproteobacteria; Enterobacterales; Enterobacteriaceae. The record is from RNAcentral.